Molecule: small RNA, 28 nt
Filed under: Bombyx mori (domestic silkworm)
Lineage: Eukaryota; Metazoa; Arthropoda; Insecta; Lepidoptera; Bombycidae
Description: ovarian small RNA-11396
Source: RNAcentral
ACCUUGUGGAGGCGUAGCCAGGAGCGUG